AUUGAACGCUGGCGGCAUGCUUUACACAUGCAAGUCGAACGCUUGGCGGACGGGUGAGUAAUGUCUCGGAAAUUGCCCGAUGGAUGGGGAUACCUACUGGAAACGGUAGCUAAUACCGCAUACCAUCGGAUUGGCCCAGAUGGGAUUCGCUAGUAUGUGGGGUAAAGGCUCACCUAGGCGACGAUCCCUGGCUGGUCUGAGAGGAGGACCAGCAACACGGGAACUGAGACACGGUCCAGACCCCUACGAGAGGCAGCAGGGGGGAAUAUUGCACAAGGGGCGCAAGCCUGAUGCGGCCACGCGGGGUGUAUGAAGAAGGCCUUCGGGUUGUAAAGUACUUUCAGCGGGGAGGGGUUACUCGCAGAAGAAGCACCGGCUAACUCCGUGCCAGCAGCCGCGGUAAUU
This 405-nucleotide ribosomal RNA is filed under the name uncultured bacterium. Its description in RNAcentral is "partial 16S ribosomal RNA". It matches the Rfam family "Bacterial small subunit ribosomal RNA", at positions 30 to 525 of the family's 1533-position model. The record is from RNAcentral.